GAUGAACGCUGGCGGCGUGCUUAACACAUGCAAGUCGAGCGAAGCGGCUGAAUUGAUUCUUCGGAUGAUUUUCAGUUGACUGAGCGGCGGACGGGUGAGUAGCGCGUGGGUGACCUGCCCCAUACCGGGGGAUAACAGCUGGAAACGGCUGCUAAUACCGCAUAAGCGCACAGAGCUGCAUGGCUCGGUGUGAAAAACUCCGGUGGUAUGGGAUGGGCCCGCGUCUGAUUAGGCAGUUGGCGGGGUAACGGCCCACCAAACCGACGAUCAGUAGCCGGCCUGAGAGGGCGACCGGCCACAUUGGGACUGAGACACGGCCCAAACUCCUACGGGAGGCAGCAGUGGGGAAUAUUGCACAAUGGGGGAAACCCUGAUGCAGCGACGCCGCGUGAGCGAAGAAGUAUUUCGGUAUGUAAAGCUCUAUCAGCAGGGAAGA
Molecule: ribosomal RNA, 436 nt
Filed under: uncultured bacterium
Lineage: Bacteria
Description: bacterial SSU rRNA
Rfam family: Bacterial small subunit ribosomal RNA
Source: RNAcentral